AAAUUUAAAACAUGACCUUGACCUUUGACCUUGACCUCAAUUUCCUUCAAAUGGACCAAGGACUUCAUAUCAAAAGACUCUAGUCCUCAACGACUUAUAACGUAUGCAUUUAUCCAACAAAUCGCCAAUCUUAAAUUUUCAAAGGGAAAUAACUCCCAUAAGAUGUCUUUCGAUCACUCAAGUCAAAAUAAACCAAAUCAUUCUCAAGAGUAGACGAACAAUUUGAUGAAAACAGAUUGCUAAAAUCUUUUACGGUUUUAGAGUUAUAGCGAUAACAAGAAAAAGGGGACGUGGGAAGAUAACUCCCAUAAGAAUAAGUGUUUGGUCACACAGGGUGAGUUUUGAAACCCC
RNAcentral lists this long non-coding RNA (351 nucleotides) under Mytilus galloprovincialis (Mediterranean mussel). Lineage: Eukaryota; Metazoa; Mollusca; Bivalvia; Mytilida; Mytilidae. The record is from RNAcentral.